This is a long non-coding RNA of Hordeum vulgare subsp. vulgare (domesticated barley), 475 nucleotides long. RefSeq lists it as uncharacterized. The transcript is spliced from 2 exons. Lineage: Eukaryota; Viridiplantae; Streptophyta; Magnoliopsida; Poales; Poaceae. The record is from RefSeq and is a predicted model, not a curated record.
UGGAACUAUAGAUGCAAACAAUGUCCUCAUUCACUAGCCUGCAUCCCCAUCGAUAAUAUUUGCAUUGAACGUGCAGCGGCAAAGUUAGGUACACGUGGGACUGGCUUAUGCAAAAAGUGUUUAACUGUUGUUGAGAUUUCUUCACCUAUUCAGGUACCUUGCAAAACUAUUUGCGUUUUUUGCCGUUCGCGUUGCGUGGCCGCUUCGUUUGCUUGCACUGUGCUCCGAUCUGGUGAAGGGCGCCAAGGAGAAGCAGCUCAAGGUCAAGGGACCCGCCAGGAUGCCUACCAAGGUGCUCAACAUCACCACCAGGAAGUCCCCCUAUGGAGAAGGUAGUCGCCUACCACUCAUGUGAUCUAAAAUAACAUUAUGUAAAACAAUCUAACGAGCUAUGGGUCCAGCCAAAUGCUGAACCAUCUAUUCCUUCAUAUUCUUAAUUAGUGAGUGGGGCAAAUCUUUUACUUCGAUUCAAAAA